RNAcentral lists this ribosomal RNA (253 nucleotides) under uncultured bacterium. RNAcentral's name for it is "partial 16S ribosomal RNA". It matches the Rfam family "Bacterial small subunit ribosomal RNA", at positions 524 to 776 of the family's 1533-position model. The record is from RNAcentral.
UACAGAGGUCUCAAGCGUUGUUCGGAUUCAUUGGGCGUAAAGGGUGCGUAGGCGGCGCGGUAAGUCGGAUGUGAAAUCUCGGAGCUUAACUCCGAAACUGCAUUCGAUACUGCCGUGCUUGAGGACUGGAGAGGAGACUGGAAUUUACGGUGUAGCGGUGAAAUGCGCAGAUAUCGGGAAGAACACCCGUGGCGAAGGCGGUUCUCUGGGACGGUACUGACGCUGAGACGCGAAAGCGUGGGGAGCGAACAGG